UUAAGUCAUUAAAAACCCUACGAUUCAAGCUAAAAUAUGAAAAAUCUAUCAAAUAUGCAAAAAAUCAUCACUUUUCAGAGGCUUUUUGUUAAAAAUGAAAGUGGCUGCAUCCGUGUUCAUCCUCAAUCUUUAUAUAUGUUAUGUAUUAUCAUCAAAUGCAACUUACAUUUUAAUAUUAUGAAUGAACACGAAUGAGGCCACUUUCAUCUAAGACGGAAACCGUAUAAAAUUUAACUAAAAUGCUAAAAUUGUGAAGAUUUCAGUAAUUUAGCAUGACUUAAUGAUGUUAGUACCCAAUAUAUGUGCAUUGUAUUGUCAAAAACGGCCCAUAUUUGUGUAGCAGAAGCAUUCUACAUUCCUAUAAAUAGCUAAAAGAUUACAUUUUCACAAUUUUGCAAAACUGCUAUGUUUUGGGGCCAAAAUGGGGUCUUACUGAACCUACUCCUUUGCAAUUGGAAUUUAAAAAAAGAUAUAAUCAAUUAAUUAUAAUAAGAAUGAUAACAUCCUGGUGCAAUAAUUCUGAAAUGGUUUAUAUCAAAAUCCAUAGUCUUCAAAGAUUUAAAGCAAUUACACAGAGCACAAAGAAGAUUGUCUUAACAGAAAAACAGAGAAAAGAAUUGAUAAAGCAUAAUCUGUACUCCACGAUAAUUCCUACACAUUCAAUUUGUAUAAUGUUAAUAUCAUAGCAUUAGUAAUUACAUUAUAGCCAUCAAAUCACAAAACAUAAAAAUAAAUGCUCAGUUACAUUCUAAUUUACAUGUACUGCAAAGCACUCCAUAUCUUAUUGAAAAGAGAACUUAUCAUGGCAUAGCUUUAUCUGCUAUGUAUUCUGGCAAUUUUUUGUUCAAUAUAUACAUGAAUAAGGUGAGUUCUCCAAAGAAAAUCCAAUCGAUUGUAACUGUAUCAAAAAUUCAGUUUGUUAGUUGUGGUAAGUAAGUAAAUUUUAUUAAGAGUCGGGCAUCAUAUGUACAAAUUAACACAGUAAACAUGAACUCUGGAGAGCUCUUAGCUGACUUGAUAUUUAAAAAACAAAUAACAAUACACAUAUAAAUAAAACACAUGUAUAAUAUAAAAGCUAAGCAAACAUGCAUAAAUCUAAGCAAUCAAGCUAAA
Molecule: long non-coding RNA, 1113 nt
Filed under: Mytilus galloprovincialis (Mediterranean mussel)
Lineage: Eukaryota; Metazoa; Mollusca; Bivalvia; Mytilida; Mytilidae
Source: RNAcentral